RNAcentral lists this long non-coding RNA (226 nucleotides) under Aquilegia coerulea. RNAcentral's name for it is "long non-coding RNA (ACOE_LNC000887)". Lineage: Eukaryota; Viridiplantae; Streptophyta; Magnoliopsida; Ranunculales; Ranunculaceae. The record is from RNAcentral.
CAUACCUUUUGGAUUGCUCCACAAUCGAUCUAGCUUCUGCUUUGUCUUCCGGAAGAGAACCACCUUUUAAGUGAGUUAUUAUUGGGUCCAUCCAACUUGCUUCCAAGUUCUGAAUGAGAUUAACAGUCACUUCCUCCACCUCUAUCAUUGGCUGAGAUCUUUGCAUGAACGUUAUGGUCUUGGUUGAAUUUUCUUCUGUUGCCGUUGCCAGGUAAGCCAAUGCAUC